This 1287-nucleotide ribosomal RNA is filed under the name metagenome. RNAcentral describes it as "bacterial SSU rRNA". It matches the Rfam family "Bacterial small subunit ribosomal RNA", at positions 242 to 1520 of the family's 1533-position model. The record is from RNAcentral.
UAGCUAGUUGGUGAGGUAAAGGCUUACCAAGGCGACGAUCUGUAGCGGGUCUGAGAGGAUGAUCCGCCACACUGGAACUGAGACACGGUCCAGACUCCUACGGGAGGCAGCAGUGGGGAAUUUUGGACAAUGGGGGCAACCCUGAUCCAGCCAUGCCGCGUGAGUGAAGAAGGCCUUCGGGUUGUAAAGCUCUUUCGGCCGGGAAGAAAUCGCAUGGGCCAAUACCCUGUGUGGAUGACGGUACCGGAAUAAGAAGCACCGGCUAACUACGUGCCAGCAGCCGCGGUAAUACGUAGGGUGCGAGCGUUAAUCGGAAUUACUGGGCGUAAAGCGUGCGCAGGCGGUUUUGUAAGACAGGCGUGAAAUCCCCGGGCUUAACCUGGGAACUGCGUUUGUGACUGCAAGGCUAGAGUACGGCAGAGGGGGGUGGAAUUCCACGUGUAGCAGUGAAAUGCGUAGAGAUGUGGAGGAACACCAAUGGCGAAGGCAGCCCCCUGGGUCGAUACUGACGCUCAUGCACGAAAGCGUGGGUAGCAAACAGGAUUAGAUACCCUGGUAGUCCACGCCCUAAACUAUGUCAACUAGGUGUUGGGUGGGUAAAACCAUUUAGUACCGUAGCUAACGCGUGAAGUUGACCGCCUGGGGAGUACGGCCGCAAGGUUAAAACUCAAAGGAAUUGACGGGGACCCGCACAAGCGGUGGAUGAUGUGGAUUAAUUCGAUGCAACGCGAAAAACCUUACCUACCCUUGACAUGCCAGGAACUUGCCAGAGAUGGCUUGGUGCCCGAAAGGGAGCCUGGACACAGGUGCUGCAUGGCUGUCGUCAGCUCGUGUCGUGAGAUGUUGGGUUAAGUCCCGCAACGAGCGCAACCCUUGUCGUUAAUUGCCAUCAUUUGGUUGGGCACUUUAACGAGACUGCCGGUGACAAACCGGAGGAAGGUGGGGAUGACGUCAAGUCCUCAUGGCCCUUAUGGGUAGGGCUUCACACGUCAUACAAUGGUCGGUACAAAGGGUUGCCAAGCCGCGAGGCGGAGCCAAUCCCAGAAAGCCGAUCGUAGUCCGGAUUGCAGGCUGCAACUUGCCUGCAUGAAGUCGGAAUCGCUAGUAAUCGUGGAUCAGCAUGUCACGGUGAAUACGUUCCCGGGUCUUGUACACACCGCCCGUCACACCAUGGGAGCGGGUUCCGCCAGAAGUAGGUAGCCUAACCGCAAGGAGGGCGCUUACCACGGCGGGGUUCGUGACUGGGGUGAAGUCGUAACAAGGUAGCCGUAGGGGAACCUGCGGCUG